AAGUCGUAACAAGGUUUCCGUAGGUGAACCUGCGGAAGGAUCAUUAACACGUAUCCACGUAUCAACCAACUGUGAACUUGUUCUCGUUCAGCGCCCCUGCAUCGAUCUGCUGCUGCAUGCCGAGGAUGAAUUGACCUGGAAGCGAUUCCGCGACAAUUGUACUAACUCGUGCACCAGUGACUGACGUCAGGCCAACCCUUUCGACUUCAGCGCGCUUCAGCCGCCGAGUCGAAUAUCCACACACACACAUUUCACCCCCUUUUUGCUAGUUGACUUUUAUAUGUUGUCUGAUUCAUCUUCAUUGGUGAGCCAGUCACACGUUUCUUACUUGAACGUUAAAAUUACAACUCUUAGCAAUGGAUAUCUUGGUUCUC
RNAcentral lists this unclassified non-coding RNA (374 nucleotides) under fungal sp. RNAcentral describes it as "partial internal transcribed spacer region". The stretch from base 1 to 46 matches the Rfam family "Eukaryotic small subunit ribosomal RNA", at positions 1786 to 1831 of the family's 1831-position model. The record is from RNAcentral. Lineage: Eukaryota; Fungi.